Long non-coding RNA from Dermochelys coriacea (leatherback sea turtle), 370 nucleotides. RefSeq lists it as uncharacterized. The transcript has 3 exons. The record is from RefSeq and is a predicted model, not a curated record. Lineage: Eukaryota; Metazoa; Chordata; Testudines; Dermochelyidae.
UUUUGUUAUGUGCACCAAGGUAUGUGCGGAUGUGUGCCACCAUUAGAAACAAAAAACCUAGAUAUAAUAUAUAUUUUUAAAAAGUUACCAUAGGAAUAGUUACUCCAGCCAGGACAGGUUAGACAUUUUAGAACUCACUACUCAAAGAAUUAAAUUUAAGUAUAAGAGAAAAAUAAAAAUUAUGAAAUGCAUAGACCAGUCAAAAAACUAAAAGAACAGACUUUGAAAGAAUAAAAUUACAGAGAAUAUAUGGGCAUUGCAGGAAGUACUAAGACGUAACAGCAACAGUAGUACAAGUAUGUGUUGGGAGGUGAGUGAGACACACAGACUGUGUGUGUGUGUGUGUGUGGAGAAAGAGACUUUGUGUGUG